UCAAGCCCAUCAGUUUGGUCGCCCAAGUAACAUUCUGGCCCAGAAGAACAAAAGCACCCUUGGAUGGUAAGUAACCCAUAAACCACUUGACCAAUAACUGCGCACAGCAUCGAAUCAAACCCCCACGCCUCUUCUCAUUCCGGUUAUGAACCGAAUAAUAGACAUCUCCAAUCAAUGUAGGGAUAUGAUUCCUUCGAAUAAACAAGCGGAUGGCAUUGAUGUCCACAAAAUUCUUCUGGUUGGGAAACAAAAUGAUCCCAUAAAUGCUCGCCGCAACCAGAGCACAGACAGCUUCCCAAUUCCCCAAUUCUGACUGCUCUUUAGCCUUAGCCUCUAGGAAACUCAGAUGAAAACCAGGC
Molecule: long non-coding RNA, 359 nt
Filed under: Lathyrus oleraceus (garden pea)
Lineage: Eukaryota; Viridiplantae; Streptophyta; Magnoliopsida; Fabales; Fabaceae
Description: Pisum sativum (pea) long non-coding RNA (PSAT_LNC033523)
Source: RNAcentral